AUUGAACGCUGGCGGCAGGCCUAACACAUGCAAGUCGAACGAGUGGCGGACGGGCGAGUAAUGUCUGGGAAACUGCCUGUUGGAGGGGGAUAACUACUGGAAACGGUAGCUAAUACCGCAUACCAUCAGAUGUGCCCAGAUGGGAUUCGCUUGUUGGUUGGGUAACGGCUCACCAAGGCGACGAUCCCUAGCUGGUCUGUGAGGAUGACCAGCCGCCCUAGAACUGAGACACGGUCCAGACUCCUACGGUAGGCAGCAGUGGGGAAUAUUGCGCAAUCGGCGCAAGCCUGCUGCAGCCAUGCCGCGUGUAUGAAGAAGGCCUUCGGGUUGUAAAGUACUUUCAGCGGGGAGGCGUUACCCGAAGAAGAAGCACCGGCUAACUCCGUGCCAGCAGCCGCGGUGCUUC
RNAcentral lists this ribosomal RNA (406 nucleotides) under uncultured bacterium. RNAcentral describes it as "partial 16S ribosomal RNA". It matches the Rfam family "Bacterial small subunit ribosomal RNA", at positions 30 to 526 of the family's 1533-position model. The record is from RNAcentral.